RNAcentral lists this ribosomal RNA (509 nucleotides) under Cratyna colei. Its description in RNAcentral is "partial small subunit ribosomal RNA". RNAcentral also lists the same sequence under 1 other name. The record is from RNAcentral. Lineage: Eukaryota; Metazoa; Arthropoda; Insecta; Diptera; Sciaridae.
GUCUUUUUGUAGUGUAUUAAAAGUCUAACCUGCCCAUUGAAAAAUUUUAAAAGGCUGCGGUAUUUUGACCGUACAAAGGUAGCAUAGUCAUUAGUUUCUUAAUUAGAAACUUGUAUGAAUGGUUGAAUGAAAUAUUAACUAUUUUAGUUUAAAAAUUUGAAUUUUACUUUUUAAUUAAAAGGUUAAAAUAAUUUUAAAAGACGAGAAGACCCUAUAGAGUUUAAUAUUUAAUUAAAUAUUAUAAAAUAAGAUAAUAUAUUUCUAAUAUUUAUUUAAUUAUUUUGUUGGGGUGAUAAUAAAAUUUAAAAAACUUUUAUUAAUUUUACCAUUAAUAAAUGAUUUCAUUGAUCCGUUAUUAACGAUUAAAAAUUUAAAUUACCUUAGGGAUAACAGCGUAAUUUUUUUUUAAGUUCAUAUUAAUAAAAAAUUUUGCGACCUCGAUGUUGGAUUAAGAUUUAAUUUUAGGUGCAGCAGUUUAAAAUUUAAGUCUGUUCGACUUUUAAAUUCUU